Molecule: ribosomal RNA, 253 nt
Filed under: uncultured bacterium
Lineage: Bacteria
Description: partial 16S ribosomal RNA
Rfam family: Bacterial small subunit ribosomal RNA
Source: RNAcentral
UACGUAGGCAGCUAGCGUUGUUCGGAAUUACUGGGCGUAAAGCGAGUGUAGGCGGUUUGCCAAGUCCGUUGUGAAAUCUCCCGGCUCAACUGGGAGGGUGCGGCGGAAACUGGCAGGCUAGAGUGCGGAAUGGGAGAGUGGAAUUCCUGGUGUAGCGGUGAAAUGCGUAGAUAUCAGGAGGAACACCGGUGGUGAAGACGGCUCUCUGGACCGCUACUGACGCUGAGACUCGAAAGCGUGGGGAGCAAACAGG